UUGCCUACGGGUGGCUGCAGUGGGGAAUAUUGGACAAUGGGCGCAAGCCUGAUCCAGCCAUGCCGCGUGAGUGAUGAAGGUCUUAGGAUUGUAAAGCUCUUUCACCGGAGAAGAUAAUGACGGUAUCCGGAGAAGAAGCCCCGGCUAACUUCGUGCCAGCAGCCGCGGUAAUACGAAGGGGGCUAGCGUUGUUCGGAAUUACUGGGCGUAAAGCGCACGUAGGCGGAUAUUUAAGUCAGGGGUGAAAUCCCAGAGCUCAACUCUGGAACUGCCUUUGAUACUGGGUAUCUAGAGUAUGGAAGAGGUGAGUGGAAUUCCGAGUGUAGAGGUGAAAUUCGUAGAUAUUCGGAGGAACACCAGUGGCGAAGGCGGCUCACUGGUCCAUUACUGACGCUGAGGUGCGAAAGCGUGGGGAGCAAACAGGAUUAGAUACCCGAGUAGUCA
This 444-nucleotide ribosomal RNA is filed under the name uncultured Agrobacterium sp. RNAcentral describes it as "bacterial SSU rRNA". It matches the Rfam family "Bacterial small subunit ribosomal RNA", at positions 335 to 796 of the family's 1533-position model. The record is from RNAcentral. Lineage: Bacteria; Pseudomonadati; Pseudomonadota; Alphaproteobacteria; Hyphomicrobiales; Rhizobiaceae.